RNAcentral lists this long non-coding RNA (3062 nucleotides) under Homo sapiens (human). RNAcentral describes it as "HSALNT0344034". The record is from RNAcentral. Lineage: Eukaryota; Metazoa; Chordata; Mammalia; Primates; Hominidae.
GACUCUGUCUCAGAAAAAAAAAAAAAAAGAGAGAGAGAAAAUGAUGCAGGAAGAAUGACGAAUAUAGAAAUCAUAACACAGUCAAGUAUAGUGAAUGAUAAAAGUAAAAAAAAAUUAUAAAGUGUAAAAAACACAUCACCUCCCACCUGGAGACCACAGGUAAUGUGUCAGUCAGAGUUCAAACUUGAGAGUGAAACUCUCAAUAUUUGGAAUAUUAUAGAGUAACAACCUUUUACAGGAAUGGUGUGAGGUGCUAUGGAAGUAAAGGUCUGUCGAGUGGGGUACAGCAUCGCAUGGUGGCCCUGGACUCACUGCAAGUCAGCAGGGCUGGAAAUCGGGAAAUAAAGACAGGGGUAAGGAAGAGUGAAGACAAACUUGCACCCUGUGUCAGCUCCACUGUGUCUCUCACCACUUCUGACCAAUUGUAACUGGGCAGUUUAACUGCAAAAUGCAUUUUAAACUUUUUACUUAUUUCUCGUGCGUUUCAAGAUAUAACCUUGAAGCAAAUUGCAGAAGCCUUUCCCUCUUUGUCUUAAAAUGAACUCCACAUCCCUCCCUUUCUCACCAUCUAUACUCCCUUCACAUUCAUCUACCUGUAUGCUAGCAUCUAAUUAUGUCCCUUUUUAGAAGCUCCUGGGGGUAAUCUUGAGACAGAUGAACCAAGUCUGGAGACCCACCUGCAAAGUUCCAGAGAUGACUUCAAGGUGGCGAGUCAACAGCCUCACCAUUGUUGAGAUGACACCAGCCCGUGAUCCAGGUAAACUGGGACCCAAGAUAGCCACCAGAACAAGGUACACAGACGUUGUACUCAGCACAAUUCUUGCAAGCUUUUCACAUCAAGUUUUCCUUUUUUAAACCCCUGUCUUCCUCUCUGCCAAAUUGAAGUGGUUGCUUUGGAUGGGAACCCGGCCACUUGUUCUUUAUUAGUUUGAGUGAAUAAAGUCACUUUCUUUCUACCAGAACUCAUUCUUGUUAACUGGAUUCUGCAGGCGGUGAGCAUCCGGACCUCUGUUCAGUUACACGAUGAAAACCUCCAGAGCAUAAUGGCCCCUCCUUCAUUCACCUCCCAGGUCUCAUGGCUUCACUGUGGCCAGCUCUAGCUCGGAACCAUAUGUAUAUAGGGAAAGAGAUUCUGAGAAACUCCCACAUCACAAGUUGAUUAUAGCCCAAUCCAUCACAGCUACAUUUCCUAAUAUUUCUGAGUUUGCAUCUCAUCUGCUCAUCUGGUAAAGAGUAUGGUGACAUGACUGCAUCAUAGCCUGGUUGUAUCACCUGAGAUGAUGUAAAACUGUAAAAUGCCAGGUGGUAUAUGUAUUAUUAUUCCAACCAGUCGGUCAGCUUUUAUUUUAGAGAAGCAGAAUCAGAGGUAAUAGGGAAGAAGAAACAGUGUAUGUAUCAAUGGAUGUGUUCUAAGAUAAGAUGACGACCUGACACAGACAGCCAGUUCUAGUUGGCAGGGGUAGGGGGUGGCAUGAAUACUUCUAGUUUGAUGUUGUGAGAUUUGUCUGGAAAGCACGGGUUGCCUGUGUGGAAGAGUUUUGCCUUCUUUCCACUUCUGCCAUAGCCCUUCAGAUGUGCUUCUCCUAUAUCCCAUACGUGAUGUACACAUGUUUAGUUGGUUUGUAUGAGCAGUGGCAGCGGAGGCCAGGUCUUGGCUUCCUGGCUGCCACUGGCCCUGGUUACCAUGGACAUAAGUAUUUCCCUUUCAUUCAGGGCAGGGGUUCAUGGCCCCUCCUGCAAACAACAGUGUGCGUCCACGUGACUAUUAAACUGUCAAAUUCACAAGACCCACUCCAAAAUAAACCCUUAUGGUCUCCACAAGCCUAUUUCUCCUCACUACUAUCUGGGAAGCACAGACUUUAGGAAGGGCUUCAUGUUUUAUAAAAAUGCCAGUGAUUAUCUGGAAAAAAUGACACCCAAUUUUCCACCACAUCCUAAGACCUACGGGUGUCUACCUAAAAGCUAAUAUGUUGUCAUGUUCCUGCCAUCUCAGAUAUGAAGCUGAAGAUAUUUCAUAUGUAUGUCCCAGAAAUGAAUGAAGAAGAAAUAUACAGUUGCUUGACUACAUGACAUGCAGCUCCCUGUUGCUUAUUCUGAAUGUGCCCUGCCUCUAGGAGGAGCUGUAGAUCUGUGGUACUGGUAACACUAGGCCCACUAGCCUUAUCAUCAUGCACAGCUUUUGUGUUUUCUUCCUCCCUCAGCUUCCACACAACAGCCCUGAUGUUUACCAGCAGGCGUCUCUUGUUUAGUCUCAUUGUCUUUGGCAAGUUCAAUCUCAACCAGAUUGUUGUUCUUCUCAAGAGGACUGAUCCCAGCAGGCUCCAGCCCUAAAGCGGACUGUUCGGGAGAUCUGUGUUAACUUUGUGUUUCAGUCCUCAGUCUCACGGUACUGGGUCCUACCGUGAGCGGAAAAUCCCUCUCUACAUCAGAACAGCCUUCUGGCCAUGCUACAGUCCUCGCUCAGAAACACGGCACACCAUAUAUAAAUAUGAUGGAUAAGCAGUGAGUGUGUAAAGACCUUGUGACUACUGAAUGUUUUGUAAAAGGUACGUAUCCAAAAUAAUUAAAAUCAGGACCUCAAAGAACUAUCUGCACUUCCAUGUUCAUUGCAGCAUUAUUCAUAAUAGCCCAAAUGUGGAAACCAUCUAAAUGCUCAUUGACAGAUGAAUGGAUAAAGAAAAUGUGGCACAUAUAUACCAUCAAAUAUUAUUUAGCCUUAAUACAGCAGAAAAUCCUGCCAUAUGCAAAAACAUGACUGAACCUACAGGAUGUUAUGGUAAGUGAAAUGAACCAAUCACAGAAGGAUAAACCCUACAUGGUUCCACUUCCUAAAGCAGGCAGACUUGUACAGAGAGUAGAGAGGUGCUUGCCAGGGGCUUGGGAUAAGGGGAAAUGGGAGGCGUUCCAUGGGUACAAAGUUUCAGUUGUGCAAAAUGAAAUAAGUUCUAGAUAUUUGCUGUAUCCUACUGUGCUUUCAGUUAACAAGACUUAAACAUUUAUGGAGAGAGUAGAUCUCAUGUUAAGUGUUCUUAUCACAAAAAAAAGAAAGAAAGAAAAGAAAG